GACGAACGCUGGCGGCGUGCUUAACACAUGCAAGUCGAACGGAAAGGUCCUGCUUUUGUGGGGUGCUCGAGUGGCGAACGGGUGAGUAACACGUGAGUAACCUGCCCUUGACUUUGGGAUAACUUCAGGAAACUGGGGCUAAUACCGGAUAGGAGCUCCUGCUGCAUGGUGGGGGUUGGAAAGUUUCGGCGGUUGGGGAUGGACUCGCGGCUGAUCAGCUUGUUGGUGGGGUAGUGUCUUACCAAGGCUUGGACGGGUAGCCGGCCUGAGAGGGUGAACGGCCAAAUUGGGACGGAGAUACGGACCAGACACCUACGGGAGGGAGGAGGGGGGAAUAUUGAACAAUGGGCGGAAGCCAGAUGCAGCAACGAAGCGUGCGGGAGGACGGACUUCGGGUUGUAAACCGCUUUCGCCUGUGACGAAGCGUGAGUGAAGGUAAUGGGUAAAGAAGCACCGGCUAACUACGU
RNAcentral lists this ribosomal RNA (467 nucleotides) under uncultured bacterium. Its description in RNAcentral is "partial 16S ribosomal RNA". It matches the Rfam family "Bacterial small subunit ribosomal RNA", at positions 28 to 506 of the family's 1533-position model. The record is from RNAcentral.